CUUGCUCCCACAUAUGAGGUCCAGCCUGCCCAGUGACAUUGUUCAACGGCCGCGGUAUCCUAACCGUGCGAAGGUAGCGUAAUCACUUGUUCUUUAAAUAAGGACUAGUAUGAAAGGCACCACGAGAGUCAUACUGUCUCCUUUCUCUAAUCAGUGAAACUGAUCUCCCCGUGAAGAAGCGGGGAUAAAAAUAUAAGACGAGAAGACCCUAUGGAGCUUAAAACAAAUAACACUUGCCCCCCCUAACUUCUAAUUUCAGAAAAAUUUUCUACCCGAGCAUCAUGGUUAUUAGUUUUCGGUUGGGGUGACCACGGAGUAAAAAGCAACCUCCGCAAUGAAAGACACUCAUCCACUUAGUUAAGGGCUACAACCCCAGACAUCAACAAAUUGACACUAAUUGACCCAACAUGUUGAUCAAUGAAC
Molecule: ribosomal RNA, 423 nt
Filed under: Adenomera marmorata group sp. ABGD cluster 30
Lineage: Eukaryota; Metazoa; Chordata; Amphibia; Anura; Leptodactylidae
Description: partial large subunit ribosomal RNA
Rfam family: Bacterial large subunit ribosomal RNA
Source: RNAcentral